This 255-nucleotide ribosomal RNA is filed under the name uncultured bacterium. Its description in RNAcentral is "partial 16S ribosomal RNA". It matches the Rfam family "Bacterial small subunit ribosomal RNA", at positions 524 to 776 of the family's 1533-position model. The record is from RNAcentral.
UACGUAGGGUGCAAGCGUUGUCCGGAAUUACUGGGCGUAAAGCGCGCGCAGGCGGCCCUUUAAGUCCGUCGGUCAAAUGCCGGGGCUCAACCCCGAUGCAUGCCGAGGAUACUGGAGGGCUGGAGACACGUAGAGGCAAGCGGAAUUCCGGGUGUAGCGGUGGAAUGCGUAGAGAUCCGGAAGAACACCGGAGGCGAAGGCGGCUUGCUGGGCGUGAUCUGACGCUGAGGCGCGAAAGCGUGGGGAGCGAACAGG